RNAcentral lists this ribosomal RNA (219 nucleotides) under Phlebotomus perniciosus. Its description in RNAcentral is "partial 16S ribosomal RNA". Lineage: Eukaryota; Metazoa; Arthropoda; Insecta; Diptera; Psychodidae. The record is from RNAcentral.
GAUCUUAAUAUAAGUUAGAGUUUAUAAAAAUAAGUUAAAUUUUAUUUUAAUUUUAUUUUAUAUUUUAUUGGGGUAAUAAUAAAAUUUAUAAAAUUUUUAUUUUUUAUAUUCAAUUAUAAUUGAUUUAAUUAGAUCCAUUAGUAUUGAUUAGAAGUUUAAGUUACCUUAGGGAUAACAGCGUAAUGAUUUUUGAGAGUUCAUAUCGAUAAAAUAGAUUGC